RNA transcript from Pan troglodytes (chimpanzee), 6065 nucleotides. It is a transcript of the gene named CD46 molecule, with no coding region annotated. The transcript is spliced from 13 exons. NCBI's taxonomy places the organism in Eukaryota, Metazoa, Chordata, Mammalia, Primates, Hominidae. The record is from RefSeq and is a predicted model, not a curated record.
ACAGGAAGAGGAAAUUCCAUGGUUUGGUGAACCCAGAAAUUCUUCAGUACAUCUCGGUUAUAAAACUGUGUUAAAUACACUUAAACUCUAUAAUUCUAUAAGACCCAUUUUAGGUUUAUACACUGAGCAUCCAGUUCCUCACCAUCCUCUCAUAGGUUAACCCUGUGUAAUACAAGUUCUGCUCCCAUAAUUCUAUGAACAAAACAGCCCUUGAUAUAUAGGCUUGAUUUUUUAAAUACAUUUUCUUUACUUUAUUCUAAAUGUAACAUAAGGUCAACAUAGAAAACUGAAAAGCAUAAGGAAAGUGAAAUAUCUGUAAUCUUAUCAACCAUUGUUAAUUUUGCUGUAUUCCUAGUUUCUUUUUAUACAUAUCAAUAUAGUACUUUUGUUUUAAUAAAAGGACUGCCAAAAGGCACAUGCCAAUUUGGACUCUGCUUUUUCUACUUACAGUGAUAUCAUAGUUUCUCAUAUUUGGUAUUCUUUUGCAAUAUUUGCUGCAUAGAAUUCCAUCACACAAAGGUAACUGCCAGAAAUUCCUUAUUACUUUUGCUAGACACUUAGGGUUUACAUUUUUUCAAAAAUUAAUCACAUCAGAGUUUUGAUCACAUCAGAGCUUUGAUCACAGCUCUGAUGAUUUCUCUGGGAACUGAGAGCCUAACACAAGUCAUGUCCACUUCAAGACUUUUAACAUACUGAAAAGUUAUGUUACAGAGUGCUGGUCCCCCUGCAACACGUUCACUCACAUUGGCUGACGUUUUAAUUCUUUGCCAAUCUGAGGGGAAGAAAUGUCAACUCUUUGUUUGCUCUUUUAAUGUCAGUCAUGUCCUUUUCCUUUUACCGGUCAUUCCGGUUUACUCACAAUCCUACAAAUCAAUCCUGCUCAUUCUUAAUUUUCCAGUAUUGUUCCUCAGAUUGUUUCACCAGAAAAGUUCUCCCCCUUAUCCACUCUUCACCUAACAAUUUCUACCCAUCCGAAUCCUCCUGCAUUUAUUGCUUCCAGGAAUUUGGCACUUAGGAUACCCUUGUCCUUACAUUGUUCAUGCAUGUAUAUUUCGUCUUCAAUAAAAAAUUUAGUUGCUCAAGGGCAAGGGCCCCAUAGAGUCUCAAUAUUCUAAUGGCCUGGUGUUGCUUAAUAAAUUAGAUUCGGAAGGGUCCCCUCCAGGGAGGGGAGCAAAGGGCAAAUUACCUUAGGGGCUGGGAGUGCAGAAGCCAAACCUUUGAGAUUGUGAAAACAAGACGGCCCCGAGACGAUCCAGUAGCAGACAUUCAAGCAAGAAAAAAACUCAAAUAUUGUUCCCAAUAGUGCCUGACUAAUGCCAAAUACCAAGUAAGGGCCCAGGCAGUCCUGACAGCCUGCAGUGCCCCAGGAUAAAACUAACCCUGAGGGGUGCUAGCCCACGGUGACCCCCUGUCUAGACUCUGGAUCUCUAUUUUUAGGUCGAAGUGCUUUAUUCUUGAUUCCCGAAUUCCCGGAAACUAUUACCAAAGCAGCUUAGUUUUCUUUCCACCCUGCCUGGGUCACAAAUAUGACGGCGAGCCAGUCCUUUCCCGCAGGAACGCCUCAGGCUUCCGGGAUGGUAGCCCAAGGGUUUAGCAAGAAAAAAGGCGGCCUCGGGGAACCUGUUCUGUUAGGUUCCGCCAGGGCCUCCCCCUGUCCCCUCGAAGGCCAAGUGCUGCCCAUGAGCGCCGAGGCUCCGCCUCGCGGCCCGCCGAUUGGCCCCAGCCGCCCUGGUGACUCGACGCACUUCCGCCCCGGGCGCGGCUCGGGCCACGCCCACCUGUCCUGCAGCACUGGAUGCUUUGUGAGUUGGGGAUUGUUGCGUUCCAUAGCUGGACCCAGAAGGGACUUCCCUGCUCGGGAAACUGGCUCUCAGUUUCUCUGCUUUCCUCCGGAAAAAUAACGGCGUCUUCCGCGCCGCGCAUGGAGUCUCCCGGCCGCCGCGAGUGUCCCUUUCCUUCCUGGCGCUUUCCUGGGUUGCUUCUGGCGGCCAUGGUGUUGCUGCUGUCCUCCUUCUCCGAUGCCUGUGAGGAGCCACCAACAUUUGAAGCUAUGGAGCUCAUUGGUAAACCAAAACCCUACUAUGAGAUUGGUGAACGAGUAGAUUAUAAGUGUAAAAAAGGAUACUUCUAUAUACCACCUCUUGCCACCCAUACUAUUUGUGAUCGGAAUCAUACAUGGCUACCUGUCUCAGAUGACGCCUGUUAUAGAGAAACAUGUCCAUAUAUACGGGAUCCUUUAAAUGGCCAAGCAAUCCCUGCAAAUGGGACUUACGAGUUUGGUUAUCAGAUGCACUUUAUUUGUAAUGAGGGUUAUUACUUAAUUGGUGAAGAAAUUCUAUAUUGUGAACUUAAAGGAUCAGUAGCAGUUUGGAGCGGUAAGCCCCCAAUAUGUGAAAAGGUUUUGUGUACACCACCUCCAAAAAUAAAAAAUGGAAAACACACCUUUAGUGAAGUAGAAGUAUUUGAGUAUCUUGAUGCAGUAACUUAUAGUUGUGAUCCUGCACCUGGACCAGAUCCAUUUUCACUUAUUGGAGAGAGCACGAUUUAUUGUGGUGACAAUUCAGUAUGGAGUCGUGCUGCUCCAGAGUGUAAAGUGGUCAAAUGUCGAUUUCCAGUAGUCGAAAAUGGAAAACAGAUAUCAGGAUUUGGAAAAAAAUUUUACUACAAAGCAACAGUGAUGUUUGAAUGUGAUAAGGGUUUUUACCUCGAUGGCAGCGACACAAUUGUCUGUGACAGUAACAGUACUUGGGUUCCCCCAGUUCCAAAGUGUCUUAAAGUGCUGCCUCCGUCUAGUACAAAACCUCCAGCUUUGAGUCAUUCAGUGUCGACUUCUUCCACUACAAAAUCUCCAGCGUCCAGUGCCUCAGGUUUAGUAAUUUCCUGCUUAUAUUUUUUCAAAAAUCCUUUAAAUUCCUGGUGAUUUUUAAAAAAAUCCUUCAAAUUUCUGGUGAUGUUCACUUAUUUUUAGUAAUGAAAGGAGGGAGGACAUUUGUAUAGCCAUUUUAGUUGUUAUACAUAGUGAUUCUAAAAUUAUUUGCCAUAAUCUGAUAUAAACAGGAAUAUGACCUUGGGAAAGUUGUAUAAAUUUUGAAUGUGUUUAUAUAUAUAUGUUUACAUUAUAUAUAGAGAAAUUGAUUUAGUACCUUCCUUAUUGGGUAUUAGUAAGGUAUAAGUGGGAUGCAUUUAAAGCACUUAGCACAGUGCCUGGUGUAGAGAAAGCUCUUAGAGCUAGCUAAUAUGACUUAUCCUACACUUAAAUUAAUGUUAGGGAAGGGGAAGGUUCAUGUAUGUUUGUUAGUAUGUGUGUGUGUUAAUAUGUUAAUAUGUUUGUUUGUUAAUAUGUAUGUUUUGUGUCAUCAACUUUGCUAUUUUAUUCUUUUCAGAAGUGAUCUGUUGACACCUUUACUGAGUUUGUUCCUAUUGCAGGACUCUUUCAUUUUCUGGAAUGCAACUAGUUUGAGUCUUCUGAUGUAAAACAUUUAAACAGGGAAAUUUCUGCUGUCCUCAGAACAAGAUCUGUAUUUCUGCCUCUUCCCUACCCACCCCUCUUCCACACCUCAUAAUGUUAUUUAUUUUUUUUCUCUUUAGUGGGCAGUUUUAUCUGGCAAUAGCAACUCAAUUUUAUAGCAACUGAAAGGCAGGAAAAGUCCUUAUUUACUGAAAUAAAAUAGAAGACUUUUGCAGGGACUCCUGGUCAACCACUGUGCUUAUGACUGGAGAGAUUAUUUUGAUAUGACGGAAGGAAUUAUCCUGAUUUCAGCACUACCAUCUCUGGUUUCACUUUGCUUCCAGCAGAAGCAAGAGACAAUAGUAAUUGUGGGUAGCACUUCAGUCUGGGCAGACUGUGCUUAGUUGACAUCAUUUCUGUGGUCUUCAGUUUCCCUUUAGUAUAAUGUCCUAGGCCUACUUACAAGCCUCCAGUCUCAAAUUAUCCAGGAUAUCCUAAACCUGAGGAAGGAAUACUUGACAGUUUGGAUGUUUGGGUCAUUGCUGUGAUUGUUAUUGCCAUAGUUGUUGGAGUUGCAGUAAUUUGUGUUGUCCCGUACAGAUAUCUUCAAAGGAGGAAGAAGAAAGGGAAAGCAGAUGGUGGAGCUGAAUAUGCCACUUACCAGACUAAAUCAACCACUCCAGCAGAGCAGAGAGGCUGAAUGGAUUCCACAGCCUGGUUUGCCAGUUCAUCUUUUGACUCUAUUAAAAUCUUCAAUAGUUGUUAUUCUGUAGUUUCACUCUCAUGAGUGCAACUGUGGCUUAGCUAAUAUUGCAAUGUGGCUUGAAUGUAGGUAGCAUCCUUUGAUGCUUCUUUGAAACUUGUAUGAAUUUGGGUAUGAACAGAUUGCCUGUUUUCCCUUAAAUAACACUUAGAUUUAUUGGACCAGUCAGCACAGCAUGCCUGGUUGUAUUAAAGCAGGGAUAUGCUGUAUUUUAUAAAAUUGGCAAAAUUAGAGAAAUAUAGUUCACAAUGAAAUUAUAUUUUCUUUGUAAAGAAAGUGGCUUGAAAUCUUUUUUGUUCAAAGAUUAAUGCCAACUCUUAAGAUUAUUCUUUCACCAACUAUAGAAUGUAUUUUGUAUAUCGUUCAUUGUAAAAAGCCCUUAAAAAUAUGUGUAUACUACUUUGGCUCUUGUGCAUAAAAACAAGAACACUGAAAACUGGGAAUAUGCACAAACUUGGCUUCUUUAACCAAGAAUAUUAUUGGAAAAUUCUCUAAAAGUUAAUAGGGUAAAUUCUCUAUUUUUUGUAAUGUGUUCGGUGAUUUCAGAAAGCUAGAAAGUGUAUGUGUGGCAUUUGUUUUCACUUUUUAAAGCAUCCCUAAAUGAUCGAAUAUAUCAGUAAUUUCAGAAUCAGAUGCAUCCUUUCAUAAGAAGUGAGAGGACUCUGACAGCCAUAACAGGAGUGCCACUUCAUGGUGCGAAGUGAACACUGUAGUCUUGUCGUUUUCCCAAAGAGAACUCCGUAUGUUCUCUUAGGUUGAGUAACCCACUCUGAAUUCUGGUUACAUGUGUUUUUCUCUCCCUCCUUAAAUAAAGAGAGGGGUUAAACAUGCCCUCUAAAAGUAGGUGGUUUUGAAGAGAAUAAAUUCAUCAGAUAACCUCAAGUCACAUGAGAAUCUUAGUCCAUUUACAUUGCCUUGGCUAGUAAAAGCCUCUUAUCUAUGUAUGUGUCUUACCUCAUCUCCUAAAAGGCAGAGUACAAAGUAAGCCAUGUAUCUCAGGAAGGUAACUUCAUUUUGUCUAUUUGCUGUUGAUUGUACCAAGGGAUGGAAGAAGUAAAUACAGCUCAGGUAGCACUUUAUACUCAGGCAGAUCUCAGCCCUCUACUGAGUCCCUUAGCCAAGCAGUUUCUUUCAAAGAAGCCAGCAGGCGAAAAGCAGGGACUGCCACUGCAAUUCAAAUCACACUGUUAAAAGUUGUGUUUUGAAAUUUUAUGUUUAGUUGCACAAAUUGGGCCAAAGAAACAUUGCCUUGAGGAAGAUACGAUUGGAAAAUCAAGAGUGUAGAAGAAUAAAUACUGUUUUACUGUCCAAAGACAUGUUUAUAGUGCUCUGUAAAUGUUCCUUUCCUUUGUAGUCUCUGGCAAGAUGCUUUAGGAAGAUAAAAGUUUGAGGAGAACAAACAGGAAUUCUGAAUUAAGCACAGAGUUGAAGUUUAUGCCCAUUUCACAUGCUUUUCAAGAAUGUUGCAAUUACUAAGAAGCAGAUAAUGGUGUUUUUUAGAAACCUAAUUGAAGUAUAUUCAACCAAAUACUUUAAUGUAUAAAAUAAAUAUUAUACAAUAUACUUGUAUAGCAGUUUCUGCUUCACAUUUGAUUUUUUCAAAUUUAAUAUUUAUGUUAGAGAUCUAUAUAUGUAUAAAUAUGUAUUUUGUCAAAUUUGUUACUUAAAUAUAUAGAGACCAGUUUUCUCUGGAAGUUUGUUUAAAUGACAGAAGCGUAUAUGAAUUCAAGAAAAUUUAAGCUGCAAAAAUGUAUUUGCUAUAAAAUGAGAAGUCUCACUGAUAGAGGUUCUUUAUUGCUCAUUUUUUUAAAAAUGGACUCUUGAAAUCUGUUAAAAUAAAAUUGUACAUUUGGA